ACGGGAGGCAGCAGUGGGGAAUAUUGCACAAUGGGCGAAAGCCUGAUGUAGCGACGCCGCGUGAGUGAAGAAGUAUUUCGGUAUGUAAAGCUCUAUCAGCAGGGAAGAAAAUGACGGUACCUGACUAAGAAGCCCCGGCUAACUACGUGCCAGCAGCCGCGGUAAUACGUAGGGGGCAAGCGUUAUCCGGAUUUACUGGGUGUAAAGGGAGCGUAGACGGUAAUGCAAGUCUGAAGUGAAAGCUCGGGGCUCAACUCCGGAAUUGCUUUGGAAACUGUGUUACUAGAGUGCAGGAGAGGCAAGUGGAAUUCCUAGUGUAGCGGUGAAAUGCGUAGAUAUUAGGAGGAACACCAGUGGCGAAGGCGGCUUGCUGGACUGUAACUGACGUUGAGGCUCGAAAGCGUGGGGAGCAAACAGGAUUAGAUACCCUGGUA
Molecule: ribosomal RNA, 434 nt
Filed under: uncultured Lachnospiraceae bacterium
Lineage: Bacteria; Bacillati; Bacillota; Clostridia; Lachnospirales; Lachnospiraceae
Description: partial 16S ribosomal RNA
Rfam family: Bacterial small subunit ribosomal RNA
Source: RNAcentral